Molecule: ribosomal RNA, 420 nt
Filed under: uncultured bacterium
Lineage: Bacteria
Description: partial 16S ribosomal RNA
Rfam family: Bacterial small subunit ribosomal RNA
Source: RNAcentral
CCUACGGGUGGCAGCAGUGAGGAAUAUUGGUCAAUGGGCGCGAGCCUGAACCAGCCAAGUAGCGUGAAGGAUGACUGCCCUACGGGGUGUAAACUUCUGUUAUAAAGGAAUAAAGUGAGGCACGUGUGCCUUUUUGUAUGUACAUUAUGAAUAAGGAUCGGCUAACACCGUGCCAGCAGCCGCGGUAAUACGGAGGAGCCGAGCGUUAUCAGGAUUUAGUGGGUUUCAAGGGAGCGUAGAUGGGUUGUUAAGUCAGUUGUGAAGGUUUGCGGCUCAACCGUAAAAUUGCAAUUGAUACUGGCAGUCUUGAGUACCGUUGAGGUCGGCGGAAUUCGUGGUGUAGCGGUGAACUGCUUCUCUCUCACGAAGAACUCCGAUUGCGAUGGCAGCUUACUAAACUGCCACUGACAUUGCUGCUCG